RNAcentral lists this unclassified non-coding RNA (230 nucleotides) under uncultured Sclerodermataceae. RNAcentral describes it as "sequence contains ITS2". Lineage: Eukaryota; Fungi; Basidiomycota; Agaricomycetes; Boletales; Sclerodermataceae. The record is from RNAcentral.
AAACCUCGAAACCGAGCGUCGACCUAGUCGGAGCCCGGUUCGGACUAUGGGAGUCUGCGGGCGAACCACGUCCGCUCUCCUCAAAAGCAUUAGCCGUGGGCAAGGGCCUCGCAUGGCACGGCCUCUUCGACGUCGUAAUGAUCGUCGUGGGCUGGAAGUGCGUCGCUCCAUGGCCCCGUGCUUCCUUAGACUGGCGAGCCCGUUCGUAGGAACGGCCGCGCCGCAUCGAC